GGAAGUAAAAGUUAACAAGGUUUCCGUAGGCGAACCUGCGGAAGGAUCAUUACUGAGUGAGGGCCCCUCGGGGUCCAACCUCCCACCCGUGUUUAACGAACCUUGUUGCUUCGGCGGGCCCGCCUCACGGCCGCCGGGGGGCAUCUGCCCCCGGGCCCGCGCCCGCCGAAGCCACCUGUGAACGCUGUCUGAAGUAUGCAGUCUGAGACAAUUAUUAAAUUAAUUAAAACUUUCAACAACGGAUCUCUUGGUUCCG
This 256-nucleotide unclassified non-coding RNA is filed under the name plant metagenome. RNAcentral's name for it is "partial contains small subunit ribosomal RNA, internal transcribed spacer 1, and 5.8S ribosomal RNA". The stretch from base 1 to 52 matches the Rfam family "Eukaryotic small subunit ribosomal RNA", at positions 1778 to 1831 of the family's 1831-position model. The record is from RNAcentral.